CCUACGGGAGGCAGCAGUGGGGGAUAUUGCACAAUGGGGGGAACCCUGAUGCAGCGACGCCGCGUGGGUGAAGAAGCGCCUCGGCGCGUAAAGCCCUGUCAGCAGGGAAGAAAAUGACGGUACCUGAAGAAGAAGCCCCGGCUAACUACGUGCCAGCAGCCGCGGUAAUACGUAGGGGGCAAGCGUUAUCCGGAUUUACAGGGUGGAAAGGGGGCGCAGACGGCGAUGCAAGCCAGGAGUGAAAGCCCGGGGCCCAACCCCGGGACUGCUCUUGGAACUGCGUGGCGGGAGUGCAGGAGGGGCAGGCGGAAUUCCUGGUGUAGCGGUGAAAUGCGUAGAUAUCAGGAGGAACACCGGUGGCGAAGGCGGCCUGCUGGACUGCAACUGACGUUGAGGCCCGAAAGCGUGGGGAGCAAACAGGAUUAGAUACCCCAGUAGUU
RNAcentral lists this ribosomal RNA (440 nucleotides) under uncultured bacterium. Its description in RNAcentral is "partial 16S ribosomal RNA". It matches the Rfam family "Bacterial small subunit ribosomal RNA", at positions 338 to 795 of the family's 1533-position model. The record is from RNAcentral.